GCGACUAGGGGGCGGUGGGGGUCUCCGGGAAAACGAAGCCGUCAUCUGUGUGCCCAGGCCCACCCUGAGAUGGUUUGUUGUUUUUUUUAGCAGGCGGGCAGAGACCAUCACGUGGGAAACAAAUCAGGAAAGGGGCUUGCCGGCAAAAACGGGUGUGCGGCAGGCGGGCGGGCUGGCAGGCGGGCGGGCGGGCGUCGGGGAGGGGGGCUGAAUCAGAAAGCAGCCUGAACAAUAGAAAGAGAGAGAGAAGAGGAGGGGGCGGGUACAGCUUGCUCCUCUCUACUGCCGGUCGCUCUGCGUGUGUUUGUGUGUUUGUAUACACGCACGCCUUCGGGGGAAGACGGGCAGGAACUGAGGAACAUUAACACCCCCCACGGACGCAGAUCUCAGCAGACGCCCUGGCAGAGAUGGGGAGCGCCUAAGCUGGCUGCUGACGACUCCUUCAUCCCUCCCUCCCUCCUUCUCCAUCCCUCUGUGUCCAUCCCUCCAUCCAUCCUUCCUCCCUCCCUCCUCUUCCCCACACGCCCUCCUUGCCUCCCUCCUUGUGGCGUGCGCGUGUGCCUGUGUGUCUCUUUCCCCCCCCCCCCGCGCGCCAUCCCCAUCCCAUCCCAUCCCCUCCUCUCCUCCACCAACACCGCCUCCUUCUCCGCCGCCGCCUCCUCGUUUUCCCCAGCCCACUGGAUAGUACCCAGGGCGCCGGGCUCUCUGCUGCUGCUGUUCGUGCUGAGCCGCCUUCGCCGCCAGCGCCACGAUGAACCCGGCCGAGGGAGCAGCGGAGGAAGGGGCGCUUCCCGAUUCCGAGGUGGACGCCUUUUUCCGAACAGUUGCAUAAUGGCUGUACCGUCUGCUCAUCAGUGACAAUGGAGAACCCCUGCAGUGCAGUGCAAAGUACAUUGAGAGGCUAUUGGAUAAUUAGAAGUACCUGGAUUAUAUACAUGGCAGUAACUCUGGCUGCAUCCGCAUACGAAAACAGCUCAAAAGCAGCUUAGGAUUGAUAGNGCGUGGACGCUAGUGUUCCCAUCCCACCUCUAAUCCACAUUAAAGCCCUUUGGGUUGCAUUUUCUGGCCUUUAGUAUCNAUUGGAGGCCCUACAUGUAGAUGCUACUACCUCUAAACUGCUCUGGGACCAUUUUUUUCUCCUGCAGGUCAAUGCAGGUUCAGUGUGUAUUGGGCAGAAAUAAAGGCAAAUGGGAAAUAAUGCUGUGAAAAAAU
Molecule: long non-coding RNA, 1212 nt
Filed under: Salvator merianae (Argentine black and white tegu)
Lineage: Eukaryota; Metazoa; Chordata; Lepidosauria; Squamata; Teiidae
Description: lncRNA (ENSSMRG00000012374.1)
Source: RNAcentral